Molecule: ribosomal RNA, 650 nt
Filed under: uncultured bacterium
Lineage: Bacteria
Description: bacterial SSU rRNA
Rfam family: Bacterial small subunit ribosomal RNA
Source: RNAcentral
GGAUGAAGGGCUUCGGCUUGUAAACUCCUGUCACCGACGAACAAGGCAUCCGGUUGAACAUUCCUGGAUGAUUGAUGGUAGUCGGAGAGGAAGGGGCGGCUAACUCUGUGCCAGCAGCCGCGGUGAUACAGAGGCCCCGAGCGUUGUUCGGAUUUACUGGGCGUAAAGGGUGUGUAGGGGGUCGGGUAAGUUUGACGUGAAAGCCCGCUGCUUAACAGCGGAACGGCGUCGAAUACUGCCCGGCUGGAGGUUCGGAGAUGAGAGCGGAAUUCUCGGUGUAGCGGUGAAAUGCGUAGAUAUCGAGAGGAACGCCGACGGCGAAAGCAGCUCUCAAGACGACACCUGACCCUGAGACACGAAGGCCAGGGGAGCAAACGGGAUUAGAUACCCCGGUAGUCCUGGCAGUAAACGGUGCUCAUUAGACGUGGGCGGAUUCGACCCCGACCGUGUCGAACCUAACGGAUUAAAUGAGCCGACUGGGAAGUACGGUCGCAAGAUUAAAACUCAAAGAAAUUGACGGGGGCCCGCACAAGCGGUGGAGUCUGUGGCUUAAUUCGAUGCAACGCGAAGAACCUUACUGGCCUUGACAUGCUGAGUUCCGGCGUGGAAACACGCUGGGCCGCAAGGGGCGAUCUGGCCAGGUGCUGCAU